AGGGUGAAGUUGGAGAGCAUGGUCAGAAGGGCGCCAAGGGAGGUAAAGGAGAACAUGGUCCUCCUGGUCCACCCGGGCCAAUGGGUCCUGUUGGUCAGCCUGGACCUGCUGGUGCUGAUGGAGAGCUUGGAGCCAGGGGCCAGCAGGGACCUUUUGGAUCCAAAGGUGACGAAGGUACCAGAGGAUUCCCAGGA
Molecule: non-coding RNA, 194 nt
Organism: Labrus bergylta (ballan wrasse)
Lineage: Eukaryota; Metazoa; Chordata; Actinopteri; Labriformes; Labridae
Source: RefSeq, a predicted model, not a curated record